RNAcentral lists this long non-coding RNA (686 nucleotides) under Monodelphis domestica (gray short-tailed opossum). RNAcentral describes it as "lncRNA (ENSMODG00000041613.1)". Lineage: Eukaryota; Metazoa; Chordata; Mammalia; Didelphimorphia; Didelphidae. The record is from RNAcentral.
AACUGGGAGUGGCAGUUGGUCUUGUGACUUGCACUUCCUUGCUGGCCCUGGAAGUGGAAGGAGCUCUCUUCUUGUAUCUGGGUAGAAGUGACUCUAUGCCUGAAUUUCCCAACUGAGUGCUCUCCCUGGAUUCCUGUGAUCAUGUCAUCUACAAAAGGGCUUAAGGGAAGCAGUUUGAACUGUAAGCUAAUGCAAUACUUUGAUAAAGACUGAUGUUGGACCCAACUCCAUGCACUUCAAGAACAUUUGGAGCCAUACUGGUCAUGUCACUGAAGAAUGUGAAUAUUCCCAACACAAAAUAUUCUUUCAAGAGAAAGGAGAAUAUUCUCAAAUUGGUAACUCUGAGAGAUAAUAUAUUGUUGGGCUAGAUGGAGCAGUGGAUAGAGUGCCCACCCUGGAAUCAGAGAGACUCCUCUUCCUGAGUUUAAAACUUUUAUUUUCAUUAUUUUCCCAGAUUACAUGUGGAUAUAAUUUUUAGUAAUCUUUUUUCUGAUAAUUUAUAAUCCAUAUUCUCUUCCUAUCUUCCAACCCUUCCCCCUCCCCUAGAAGUCAGAUAAUAUAAUAUAGAUUAUACAUAUGUUAUCAUAUGAUCAUAUUUUUGUGUUUGUCAUAUUGUGAAAGAAGACACGUUGUUUACACUAGAGAAAAAUUCAUGGAAGAAAUAAAGUGAAGAUGGGUAUGCUUCA